RNAcentral lists this ribosomal RNA (883 nucleotides) under uncultured bacterium. RNAcentral's name for it is "bacterial SSU rRNA". It matches the Rfam family "Bacterial small subunit ribosomal RNA", at positions 56 to 941 of the family's 1533-position model. The record is from RNAcentral.
UGCAGUCGACGGUAACAUGGAUUGCUUGCAAUCUGAUGACGAGUGGCGCACGGGNGNNNAACGCGUAUACAAUCUACCUUUUACAGGGGGAUAGCCCAGAGAAAUUUGGAUUAAUACCCCAUGGUAUUGCGAAUUGGCAUCGAUUUACAAUUAAAGAUUCAUUGGUAAGAGAUGAGUAUGCGUCCUAUUAGCUAGAUGGUAAGGUAACGGCUUACCAUGGCAACGAUAGGUAGGGGCCCUGAGAGGGGGAUCCCCCACACUGGUACUGAGACACGGACCAGACUCCUACGGGAGGCAGCAGUGAGGAAUAUUGGACAAUGGGGGCAACCCUGAUCCAGCCAUGCCGCGUGCAGGAAGACUGCCCUAUGGGUUGUAAACUGCUUUUAUACAGGAAGAAACGCCUCUACGUGUAGAGGUUUGACGGUACUGUAAGAAUAAGGAUCGGCUAACUCCGUGCCAGCAGCCGCGGUAAUACGGAGGAUCCAAGCGUUAUCCGGAAUCAUUGGGUUUAAAGGGUCCGUAGGUUGAUAAUUAAGUCAGAGGUGAAAUCCUGCCGCUCAACGGUAGAAUUGCCUUUGAUACUGGUUAUCUUGAGUUAUUAUGAAGUAGUUAGAAUAUGUAGUGUAGCGGUGAAAUGCAUAGAUAUUACAUAGAAUACCAAUUGCGAANGCAGANUACUAAUAAUGAACUGACACUGAUGGACGAAAGCGUGGGGAGCGAACAGGAUUAGAUACCCUGGUAGUCCACGCCGUAAACGAUGGAUACUAGCUGUUCGGAUUUCGGUCUGAGUGGCUAAGCGAAAGUGAUAANUANCCCACCUGGGGAGUACGUUCGCAGAUGAAACUCNAAGGAAUUGACGGGGGCCCGCNCAGCGUGNAGCAUG